GACGUAGGAGGCGAGCGUUGUCCGGAUUCAUUGGGCGUAAAGAGCACGCAGGCGGUUUGGCAAGUCGGAUGUGAAAACCCGAAGCUCAACUUCGGGCCUGCAUCCAAAACUGCCCGACUAGAGGUAGGUAGGGGAGAUCGGAAUUCCUGGUGUAGCGGUGAAAUGCGCAGAUAUCAGGAGGAACACCGGUGGCGAAGGCGGAUCUCUGGGCCUUACCUGACGCUCAGGUGCGAAAGCUAGGGGAGCGAACAGG
This 253-nucleotide ribosomal RNA is filed under the name uncultured bacterium. RNAcentral's name for it is "partial 16S ribosomal RNA". It matches the Rfam family "Bacterial small subunit ribosomal RNA", at positions 524 to 776 of the family's 1533-position model. The record is from RNAcentral.